AUGGGAGAUUUCAAAGUAGAAAUAGAUGUCCAGUCUUACUUAACGAUUGUAGAUGGCAGAAGAGUGUACACAAGGGGCAAAACAUGGAAUUUUAUGGCCGGUCGGGGCUUGUCUGUGGCGCGGAUAAAGGAGGUUGUGGAGGAGAGGUACAAAUGGUCUGCUGAUCAGAGAAUGACCAUUUGGUAUGGAUCUGGAGAUAACGCCGUCCCAUUGAUCUCUGAAUCAGAGAUAGCCCAAUUGUUUGAUACAUGUUCUAACACAAAAGUAGUAAGGUUCGGUGUGACCAUUGAGAGCAAACAACAACGCAAUGAACCUGCUCCUGUCAUGACUGAGGAGAUGGAUGAUCAGCCGGUUCACGCUCCAUUCUUUGCUUGGCCGAAGCAAGCCUAUGAAGGAGAGUACGAGGAUGAUGAGCCUGUGGGAUGGAAUCAGGAGAACACCUAUUUGCAUGAGGAGAAUGCUGAAUCAAAGGAGAAUGCCGCACCACAGAAAAAUGUCGAGCCAAAGGCUGCAAGGGUUCCAUUGGGAACCCUGGAUGUUGACAACUCUUAUGAUCCACAACAUGUGCGAGGGGAUGAUGAGGCUUUACUUGCGAACAAUAUGGCUUCUACUUAUAUCCACGAUAAAAACAAUCCUCGAAUUGAAGUAGGAGCCACAUUUCCUAACUCUAAAGCAUUUAGAGUUGCAUUGAGACAACUAGCAAUUAGAGAAGAUUGGUCUUUUGGCACGCAGUAUAGUGACACUCAGAGAUUUAGGGCUAAUUGCACUGAUGAGGAUUGUCCACGGAGGAUACAUGCCUCAAAGUUACCGAACACUAAAACUUUCAUGGUAAAGAAACUUCCUUUUGGGCAUACUUGUGGGAGUACCAAUUGCAGCAAAGGAAUGGCAAAUAGAGAUUGGCUUGCUGAUAAAGGGAGUGCUGCACUUGAGGAGAAUCCCACGGUGAGUGCAAAACAACUUAGAGAAACUUUGCAAAAGGAGUAUGAUAUUAAGCUUCAGUACACCGAUGUUUGGAAAGGAAGAGCUCGUGCAAAGGAUCAAUUGGAAGGUACAUAUAAGGAGAAUUUUCAGCAGUUGUGGAACUUCAGAGCCGAAUUGUUGGCAGCCAAUCCUGGAAGUAUAUUUGAGAUAGACAUAAAAACAACUACCAACAAAAAGGGUGACAUUGUGCAUGUUUUUAAUAGGUUGUUCAUUGCCUUCAAGCCAUGCAUUGAUGGAUUUUUGGCAGGGUGCAGACCAUAUUUGGGGGUUGAUGCAACUUUUCUUAGUGGGAAAUACACCGGACAAUUGGCAGCCGCAAUUGGUGUGGAUGGGCAUAGUUGGAUGUUUCCGGUAGCAUUUGGAAUAUUUGAGAAAGAAAAUACAGAAAAUUGGGUAUGGUUCAUGGAGCAACUGAAAUUGGCCAUUGGAGAGCCACAAGGGCUUGCGGUCCAUAUAGAUGCAUGUAAGGGGUUGGAGAAUGCCGUUUCUAAGGUCUACCCAAAUUGUGAACAUAGAGAAUGCAUGAUGCAUCUAAUGCUUAACUUCAAGAAAAAGUUCAAAGGUGACAUACUAGAUAAUAUGUGGCCUGCAGCUUGGACAUAUGAAGUAGAGAAGCAUGCUUCCAGGAUGGCAGAAAUACAAGCACAAAGCGCCGAAGCAAUAGCCUAUUUGAACAUGCAUCACAACCGUGUGUGGACAAGAAGCAAAUUUUCAACAAUGACAAAAGUUGAGUAUGUGUGCAAUAAUUUGGCAGAGGUUUUCAAUAAUUGGAUUAAGGACAUGAAGCAGCUUGCAUUGGUUGAGCUUUUGGACAACCUUAGGGAAAUGAUAAUGAAAUUGUUAGAGAAAAGGAGAGCCGUUGCCGGUGCGCUUCUAGGUUACAUACUACCUAGUGUGAUAAAGGAGUUGAAUUUGAAAAGCAAGGGGCUGCAUUAUUUGGAAGCAAGAGCAUCGCCAAAUAUAGCUGAGAUUUCAGGAAAUGGAUGGAGGCACACCGUUAACUUGGAGAAAAAUGAGUGCUCUUGUAGGAGAUGGAAAAUUUGUGGUAAGCCAUGCACACAUGCUCUUCGGUUCAUAUUCUCCAAAAAAGCCAAGCUUGAGGAUUAUAUUGAUGAGUGCUUCUCAGUGGCAAGGUUCAAAGCGGCAUAUGAGGGAAUUCUCAUGCCAAUUAGGGGCAGGUCCCAAUGGCCCAAGGUAAAUCCUGGAUUUGAUAUGAUCCCUCCCAAGCUUACCAAGAGUGCUGGACGUCCAAGAACUAGGAGGAUAAAGAAUUACACCGAAGGUGGAACCGGCAGAAAACAUAAAUGCAAAAGGUGUGGAGCAUUAGGUCAUCUUCGGAAGACAUGCAAGGAGCCAGAGAUUGAAAGUGACGCGGACCGAGAUGCUACUCCUCCUCCACGGAAAAAAUCAAAGGUUGAAGCAAGCAUUGCAGCUACUUCUUCUCCUAUUACACCAACUAAGCAAGGUACUCAACUUGGUACUCCUACAAGUCCAAUGACAAGGCAAAGGGCAGCAACUAUUGCAAUUGCUUCAACACCUCCUAGUGCCUCUACAAGGAGCAAAACUGCUGCUCCUAGCCCUCUUCGCAAUGCCAUGUGA
RNAcentral lists this ribosomal RNA (2580 nucleotides) under Triticum aestivum (bread wheat). Its description in RNAcentral is "partial small subunit ribosomal RNA". The record is from RNAcentral. Lineage: Eukaryota; Viridiplantae; Streptophyta; Magnoliopsida; Poales; Poaceae.